UCGGAUGUCCCAUGUCGAGGGCCGAGUACAUCAUACGGUUGAUCCAUGCGCUGAUCCCGUUCCCGGAUCGGUUGAACCUAAUAAAAAAAAACAAAUUAUUAAUAAAAAAACAGUUUAAAUAAAAAAUAGUUAAAAAAAUAAAAGUUAAAUUACCAUGUUUGACCAUGUCCAUGUGGAUACUCAGUGAGAUAGGGAAGAUGGUCACGACCAGGCUGUCGAACCAACUC
This 227-nucleotide long non-coding RNA is filed under the name Brassica napus (rape). RNAcentral's name for it is "long non-coding RNA (BNAP_LNC001701)". Lineage: Eukaryota; Viridiplantae; Streptophyta; Magnoliopsida; Brassicales; Brassicaceae. The record is from RNAcentral.